CGCCCUACUAUCCUACAGAGCAAUUCAAACUCUUACUCUUAGUAAGACUAAGGCUAGGGCGACUCAUUCUAUUCUCUCUGAGGUCAGGUAGGUGAAGCGUCUAGCUUAGGGGGGCGCGUCAAAUCGCUGAAAGGCCUUGGUGAUUUUACAAUUUGGUAAUCUGAAGAUAGAAAACCGCAAUGAUUCCAAACUUCACUUCAAUAGUCUCGGAUCCAUGCUGCCCCGACUCCCUUCCCUUGCAUUGCCAGGAAGAAUGAGUGGGUACAUAGGGAGCAGUCAUUACGUUAGCAAGCCCGCAAGCAAUUCAUCUGUUUUGGUUAGUGGUUUUUCAGUCUUAUCCGCUGGUGGCCACUGGUGGGAAAGAAAGGACUCGUAGGAUCAUCUGGAUGAAAGGGGGGCCCAGCAUCAGAAACUGCGGCUUGCCCCGGCAUCUCUUACCACUAGAGAUAGAGAUCCAGAUUCAGACUAAGACCUUCUCUCGCGGUCCCCAGGAAAUUCAGUAGGCUCGACCCAAGGAAUCGAAGGCUUUGCUCACGAGAAAGGGGAUCGGAAUCUCGUUCAGAGUGAGCCAGUAGUA
Molecule: long non-coding RNA, 577 nt
Filed under: Citrus sinensis (sweet orange)
Lineage: Eukaryota; Viridiplantae; Streptophyta; Magnoliopsida; Sapindales; Rutaceae
Description: long non-coding RNA (CSIN_LNC004244)
Source: RNAcentral